This 660-nucleotide ribosomal RNA is filed under the name uncultured bacterium. RNAcentral's name for it is "bacterial SSU rRNA". It matches the Rfam family "Bacterial small subunit ribosomal RNA", at positions 8 to 649 of the family's 1533-position model. The record is from RNAcentral.
AGGGUUUGAUCAUGGCUCAGAACGAACGCUGGCGGCGUGCUUAACACAUGCAAGUCGAGCGCGAACGCUCCCUUCGGGGGGCUAGUAGAGCGGCGCACGGGUGAGUAACACGUGAGCAACCUACCCCUGAGUUCGGAAUAACCACUGGAAAUGGUGGCUAAUGCCGAAUAAGCCCACAACGUCUCAAGACGGUGAGGGAAAAGAGGGCUUCGGCUCUCGUUCAGGGAUGGGCUCGCGGCCCAUUAGCUAGUUGGUGAGGUAACGGCUCACCAAGGCGAUGAUGGGUAGCUGGUCUGAGAGGAUGAUCAGCCACACUGGGACUGAGACACGGCCCAGACUCCUACGGGAGGCAGCAGUGGGGAAUCUUGCGCAAUGGGCGAAAGCCUGACGCAGCAACGCCGCGUGGGUGAUGAAGGCUCUUGGGUCGUAAAGCCCUGUCAGGGGAGAAGAAAUCGUUGGUGGUUAAUACCCAUUAGCGUUGACGGUACCCCCAAAGGAAGCACCGGCUAACUCCGUGCCAGCAGCCGCGGUAAUACGGAGGGUGCAAGCGUUGUUCGGAAUUAUUGGGCGUAAAGCGAGUGUAGGCGGCUUGACAAGUCGGGUGUGAAAGCCCGGGGCUUAACCCCGGAACUGCGCUCGAAACUGUCAUGGCUUGAGUAC